GUGCCCGGGUAGGGCACGUAUCAGAUAUUAAACUGAUAAGAACAGAUACUACACUUGAUCUUAGCCAAAAGGCCGAGAAGCGAUACCCACAAAUGGUCAACAGUAGCAACCACAUUCUAGGAGACAGUAAAUACGACGACGCCCGGAAAACACCAAGCCGAUGCCGACGAACUAGUGGCGACGAAAGCAGACUGCGGAGUUGGCACACGUCAGCAGCAUCUGGGUCCAAAGCUGCCGACACACCAAACCGACGCUCGACACCCGACGGCUGACGAGGACGAAAAAAGCAGACGAUGAUCAACUUCAGCCAAUACUGAGAAAACCUAGUCGGCCGACGAACAAAAAGUGCCCGACAGCCAACCGUUGGCUUGGUGUGUUCCGGGCUUCAUGUGCACUUAUAUGCCGAUUGCCAACAAAACACAGACAUUUGAUGCAGUUUUACUUACUGCUUGCGGCGACUCAUGACCAGGAUCUUUUAUCGCUGGGAUCGCUCCAUCUUUCCGUUUCAAACAAUCUGCAAAUCCAGAGUCGAACUGGGCCUUGUUUAUAAACAUUCAUCACCGAAAUGCCGGGAACAACAAACACACUUGCACAAGUUGCUGCCCCGGAAAAACAAACUGCAUCCACUGUUCCCUUAACGCUGGGUUUUUUGGGAAGCUGAACAAGGUCAUCUUUCCCUCACAACGAAAAACACACCUUUUUGGGGACAUUGUUGAUUUUGUGGUCUGAAAACAAAAUGACUAUUUCUGGAGCAAGUCCUGUGCAGCGCUGCCGAUGACUUCUGUAUCCCGAACGAAGCAAGUUGAUGGGCGUGCUCUUGCUCGCUCUGGUUGAUGUGUGCGCGCGCUUUUCCGGGAGAAGUGUCCAUACAAGGAAUUCCAUCCUUUAUGACAUCAUACAGGGCCAUAAUGAAAAAAAAUCCCGAAAUUUAUGCUGCCUUCACGUGGCAAUUAAUCGCAAAUACGAGUUUUCUAGGUAAAAAUUGCACAUGAAUGCACAUUUCGACACUUGAAUGUGAUGAGCUUGUAAUCACGACUUCAGAAGUGUGAAUUAUCAAAUUUAGCAUGUGAAGGCAACAAUAUACAAUUAUUAGCUGGGGAAGUGGAUUCACUUAUUGUAGAGUUAAAGAAUUAGUUCACUUCAGAAUUAAAAUUUCCUGAUAAUUUACUCACCCCCAUGUCAUCCAAGAUGUUUAUGUCUUUCUUUCUUCAGUCGAAAAGAAAUUAUGGCUUUUGAGGAAAACAUUCCAGGAUUUUUCUCCAUAUAGUGGACUUCAACAGGGUUCAGUGGGUUGAAGGUCCAAAUUGCAGUUUCAGUGCAGCUUCAAAGGGCUGUACACGAUCCCAGCUGUGGAAUAAGGGUCUUAUUUAGCGAAAUGAUUGGUCAUUUUCUAAAAAAAAAAUAAAUAAAUAAAAAUUUAUAUACUUUUUAACCACAAAUGCUCGUCUUGCACUAGCGUCCAUGACUUUGAGCAUUACGUAAUCACACUGGAAAGGUCACGCAUGACAUAAGUGGAAGUACCGACCGAAUGUUUACAAAGCGAAUGUGCACGAUUUUGAGGAGAAAAUGAAAUGGAGUUUUUCAGUACUUUCAUCUACAUCACGCGUGACCUUUCCAGUGUGAUUACGUAAUGUGUGAAGUCGUGGACGCUAGUGCAAGACAAGCAUUUGUGGUUAAAAAGUAUCCUUUAACAAAAGUUACCAUGAGCAUCGUAAUGUUUAAAGCGGAUGUGAUAACAAAUGUCAGUAGACAGGGAAGAUCUUAAAACGAGCAGUUCAAUCAUAAAUCCGUAAGAUCUUACCUUCAUGCUGUGGAAAUACAAACCGGAAGAAUGAACACAACAAGCAAAAAGGGGCGGGGCAACAUAAGGUCCCUUCAGUCACCACAAUGUGUUUUAGUUAUUAUAACCAGGGCUGGAAAUGGCUGAGAUUGGAAAGUUUUUUUUUUUUUUACUUUCAAUGACUUUUCAGAUUAUUUAAAUAUAAAAUAUUAUAUAAUCUAUAAUAACAUGAAAUAGGCCUAUUUCAUGUUUCCUCCAAACAAUAUUUUCUUAAUUAUCAAGCAGGCACAUGAAAGGUCAAUGAACAACAUUUAUGAAUUGUGUGUGGCACAAACAUGUUCAUUCAACAGAAUCUCUGCUUGGAGAAAAUUACCUGUUUGAUUUUGGCCAAAUUAAAGAUACAUUGUUUAGGAAUUACUGAAUUGAACAGGUCACAAACAUUUUAAAUACAAUUGUACAAUGUUAGUUGCUGCAGUCUAUUUACAAAAGCCAUUAAUUAAUUUGAAUGAAUUAUUAUUUUUUAAAAAUCGGUUUGAAUAAAUGAUUCAAUUAUUAAGA
This is a long non-coding RNA of Ctenopharyngodon idella (grass carp), 2338 nucleotides long. RefSeq lists it as uncharacterized. The record is from RefSeq and is a predicted model, not a curated record. The transcript is spliced from 2 exons. Lineage: Eukaryota; Metazoa; Chordata; Actinopteri; Cypriniformes; Xenocyprididae.